This 497-nucleotide ribosomal RNA is filed under the name uncultured bacterium. Its description in RNAcentral is "partial 16S ribosomal RNA". It matches the Rfam family "Bacterial small subunit ribosomal RNA", at positions 28 to 507 of the family's 1533-position model. The record is from RNAcentral.
GAUGAACGCUGGCGGCGUGCCUAAUACAUGCAAGUCGAGCGAACGGACGAGAAGCUUGCUUCUCUGAUGUUAGCGGCGGACGGGUGAGUAACACGUGGAUAACCUACCUAUAAGACUGGGAUAACUUCGGGAAACCGGAGCUAAUACCGGAUAAUAUUUUGAACCGCAUGGUUCAAAAGUGAAAGACGGUCUUGCUGUCACUUAUAGAUGGAUCCGCGCUGCAUUAGCUAGUUGGUAAGGUAACGGCUUACCAAGGCAACGAUGCAUAGCCGACCUGAGAGGGUGAUCGGCCACACUGGAACUGAGACACGGUCCAGACUCCUGCGGGAGGCAGCAGUAGGGAAUCUUCCGCAAUGGGCGAAAGCCUGACGGAGCACCGCCGCGUGAGUGAUGAAGGUCUUCGGAUCGUAAAACUCUGUUAUUAGGGAAGAACAUAUGUGUAAGUAACUGUGCACAUCUUGACGGUACCUAAUCAGAAAGCCACGGCUAACUACGUG